RNAcentral lists this ribosomal RNA (253 nucleotides) under uncultured bacterium. Its description in RNAcentral is "partial 16S ribosomal RNA". It matches the Rfam family "Bacterial small subunit ribosomal RNA", at positions 524 to 776 of the family's 1533-position model. The record is from RNAcentral.
AACGUAGGAGACAAACGUUAUCCGGAGUUACUGGGCGUAAAGGGCGUGCAGGUGGUUACUUAAGUCUGAUGUGAAAUCUCCCUGCUCAACGGGGAGGGUGCGUUGGAUACUGGGUGGCUAGAGGACGGUAGGGGUGAAGGGAAUUCCGGGUGUAGUGGUGAAAUGCGUAGAGAUCCGGAGGAACACCAGUGGCGAAGGCGCUCCACUAGGCCGUACCUAACACUAAGACGCGACAGCAUGGGGAGCGAACGGG